This is a long non-coding RNA of Aricia agestis (brown argus), 138 nucleotides long. RefSeq lists it as uncharacterized. NCBI's taxonomy places the organism in Eukaryota, Metazoa, Arthropoda, Insecta, Lepidoptera, Lycaenidae. The transcript is spliced from 3 exons. The record is from RefSeq and is a predicted model, not a curated record.
GAUUAUUUGGUUAUUAGAGUAUCGAAUGCAAUAAAUAUUUCAUUCAAAUUGUGAUAUUUUUAAAAUCCAUUUAUGAUAUGCUCUAGUUCUACCAUUUUCCAUAGUGCGCCGCGCCGAUUCGGGAAAUAACGCUAACGG